Molecule: ribosomal RNA, 467 nt
Filed under: uncultured bacterium
Lineage: Bacteria
Description: partial 16S ribosomal RNA
Rfam family: Bacterial small subunit ribosomal RNA
Source: RNAcentral
CUACGGGUGGCUGCAGUCGAGAAUAGUCUACAAUGGACGAAAGUCUGAUAGUGCGACGCCGCGUGGAUGAAGAAGCAUUUCGGUGUGUAAAGUCUUUUUCUGUGUGAGCAAUGUUUUCCAGGUUAAUAGCUUGGAGAAAGCGAUAUUAACACAGGAAUAAGCUCCGGCUAACUCCGUGGCCAGCAGCCGCGGUAACACGGGGGGAGCAAGCGUUGUCCGGAAUUACUAGGCGUAAAGGGUAAGUAGGCGGAAUUGUAAGUCAGAUGUUAAAGGCACCGGCUCAACCGGUGUAUGGCAUUUGAUACUGUAAUUCUAGAGUAAGGUGGGGGAAGACGGAAUUCCUGGUGUAGCGGUGGAAUGCGCAGAUAUCAGGAGGAACACCAGAGGCGCAGGCGGUCCUCUAUACCAUUACUGACGCUCAAUUACGAAGGUGUGGGUAUCAAACAGGAUUAGAUACCCCGGUAGUC